AGCGAACGCUGGCGGUAGGCCUAACACAUGCAAGUCGAACGGCAGCACAGUAAGAGCUUGCUCUUACGGGCGGCGAGUGGCGGAAGGGUGCGGAAUACACCGGAAUCUACUUUUUCGUGGGGGCUAAUGUCGGGAAACUUACGCUAACACCGCAUACGACCUACGGGUGAAAGCAGGCGAUCUUCGGACCUUGUGCGAUUGUAUGAGCCGACGUCGGAUUAGCUAGUUGGCGGGGUAAAGGCCCACCAAGGCGACGAUCCGUAGCUGGUCUGAAAGGAUGGUCAGCCACACUGGAACUGAGACACAUUCGAGACUCCGACGGGAGGCAGCAGUGGGGAAUAUUGGACGAAGGACGCGAGGCUGAUCCUGCCAUACCGCGUGGAGGAAGAAGGCGUUCUGGUGGGAGAGCCCUUUUGUUGGGAGAGAAGUACAGCAGUUUUAUACCCCGCUAUUCUGACGGUACCGAGAGAAUAAGCACCGGCUAACUUCGUG
This 492-nucleotide ribosomal RNA is filed under the name uncultured bacterium. Its description in RNAcentral is "partial 16S ribosomal RNA". It matches the Rfam family "Bacterial small subunit ribosomal RNA", at positions 29 to 507 of the family's 1533-position model. The record is from RNAcentral.